RNAcentral lists this ribosomal RNA (260 nucleotides) under uncultured archaeon. RNAcentral describes it as "partial 16S ribosomal RNA". It matches the Rfam family "Archaeal small subunit ribosomal RNA", at positions 748 to 1009 of the family's 1478-position model. The record is from RNAcentral.
CAGCCGUAAACUAUGCGCGUUAGGUGUACUGGUGACCACGAGUCACCGGGGUGCCGAAGGGAAACCGUGAAACGUGCCGCCUGGGAAGUACGGUCGCAAGGCUGAAACUUAAAGGAAUUGGCGGGGGAGCACCGCAACGGGAGGAGCGUGCGGUUUAAUUGGAUUCAACGCCGAAAACUCACCAGCAGCGACUGUUACAUGAAAGUCAGGUUGAUGACCUUACUAGAUUUUCAGAGAGGAGGUGCAUGGCGUAGACGUCU